This 853-nucleotide ribosomal RNA is filed under the name Microbacterium natoriense. RNAcentral's name for it is "bacterial SSU rRNA". It matches the Rfam family "Bacterial small subunit ribosomal RNA", at positions 9 to 873 of the family's 1533-position model. Lineage: Bacteria; Bacillati; Actinomycetota; Actinomycetes; Micrococcales; Microbacteriaceae. The record is from RNAcentral.
AGAGUUUGAUCCUGGCUCAGGAUGAACGCUGGCGGCGUGCUUAACACAUGCAAGUCGAACGGUGAAGCAGAGCUUGCUCUGUGGAUCAGUGGCGAACGGGUGAGUAACACGUGAGCAACCUGCCCCGGACUCUGGGAUAAGCGCUGGAAACGGCGUCUAAUACUGGAUAUGAGCUUCAGCCGCAUGGCUAGGAGUUGGAAAGAUUUUUCGGUCUGGGAUGGGCUCGCGGCCUAUCAGCUUGUUGGUGAGGUAAUGGCUCACCAAGGCGUCGACGGGUAGCCGGCCUGAGAGGGUGACCGGCCACACUGGGACUGAGACACGGCCCAGACUCCUACGGGAGGCAGCAGUGGGGAAUAUUGCACAAUGGGCGGAAGCCUGAUGCAGCAACGCCGCGUGAGGGAUGACGGCCUUCGGGUUGUAAACCUCUUUUAGCAAGGAAGAAGCGAAAGUGACGGUACUUGCAGAAAAAGCGCCGGCUAACUACGUGCCAGCAGCCGCGGUAAUACGUAGGGCGCAAGCGUUAUCCGGAAUUAUUGGGCGUAAAGAGCUCGUAGGCGGUUUGUCGCGUCUGCUGUGAAAUCCCGAGGCUCAACCUCGGGCCUGCAGUGGGUACGGGCAGACUAGAGUGCGGUAGGGGAGAUUGGAAUUCCUGGUGUAGCGGUGGAAUGCGCAGAUAUCAGGAGGAACACCGAUGGCGAAGGCAGAUCUCUGGGCCGUAACUGACGCUGAGGAGCGAAAGGGUGGGGAGCAAACAGGCUUAGAUACCCUGGUAGUCCACCCCGUAAACGUUGGGAACUAGUUGUGGGGUCCAUUCCACGGAUUCCGUGACGCAGCUAACGCAUAAGUCCCCGCU